AAACAGCCCCCUAUGUUUUGAUUCUUUGGCAGUUUUGGACCCCCAAGGCAAAAAAAAAAAAAAAUGACACGUGGCACCUCACGUAUGGUGCCACGUCAGCGUUGACCGAGUCAACAAUGGACUGCCAAAGAAUCAAAACAUAGGGGGCUGUUU
Molecule: microRNA precursor, 153 nt
Filed under: Medicago truncatula (barrel medic)
Lineage: Eukaryota; Viridiplantae; Streptophyta; Magnoliopsida; Fabales; Fabaceae
Description: MIR2619 microRNA precursor family
Rfam family: MIR2619 microRNA precursor family
Source: Rfam by way of RNAcentral